This 329-nucleotide unclassified non-coding RNA is filed under the name soil metagenome. RNAcentral's name for it is "partial contains 5.8S ribosomal RNA, internal transcribed spacer 2, and large subunit ribosomal RNA". The stretch from base 1 to 120 matches the Rfam family "5.8S ribosomal RNA", at positions 35 to 154 of the family's 154-position model. The record is from RNAcentral.
GAUGAAGAACGUAGCGAAAUGCGAUAAGUAAUGUGAAUUGCCGAAUUCAGUGAAUCAUCGAAUCUUUGAACGCACAUUGCGCCCCUUGGUAUUCCGAGGGGCAUGCCUGUUCGAGCGUCAUUAUAACCCCUCAAGCUCAGCUUGGUGUUGGGGCCUGCUGCACUGGCAGCCCUUAAAAUCAGUGGCGGCGCCAUCUGGCUCUAAGCGUAGUAAUUCUUCUCGCUAUGGAGUCCUGGUGGAUGCUUGCCAUCAACCCCCAAUUUUUCUAUGGUUGACCUCGGAUCAGGUAGGGAUACCCGCUGAACUUAAGCAUAUCAAUAAGCGGAGGA